GCUUACGAGUGUACCACUCUGAGCGUACCCAAUCACAUCUGAUCUUGGAAGCUAAGCCGGGUUGGGCCUGGUUAGAUGGGAGACCACCUGGGAAUACUAUUUGGUGGUCA
RNAcentral lists this ribosomal RNA (110 nucleotides) under Amphilophus citrinellus (Midas cichlid). The record is from RNAcentral. Lineage: Eukaryota; Metazoa; Chordata; Actinopteri; Cichliformes; Cichlidae.